GGAAGGGUGCCAGAGCGGCCGAAUGGGACUGUCUCGAAAACAGUUGUGGUGUCACAGCCACCGCGGGUUCAAAUCCCGCCUCUUCCGCCA
This 90-nucleotide transfer RNA is filed under the name Ilumatobacteraceae bacterium. RNAcentral's name for it is "tRNA-Ser". It matches the Rfam family "tRNA". Rfam says of the family: Transfer RNA (tRNA) molecules are approximately 80 nucleotides in length. Their secondary structure includes four short double-helical elements and three loops (D, anti-codon, and T loops). The record is from RNAcentral. RNAcentral also lists the same sequence under 3 other names. Lineage: Bacteria; Bacillati; Actinomycetota; Acidimicrobiia; Acidimicrobiales; Ilumatobacteraceae.